RNAcentral lists this non-coding RNA (21 nucleotides) under Arabidopsis thaliana (thale cress). Lineage: Eukaryota; Viridiplantae; Streptophyta; Magnoliopsida; Brassicales; Brassicaceae. The record is from RNAcentral.
UCGUUUAUGCUAUUUGAUUGG